Molecule: ribosomal RNA, 371 nt
Filed under: uncultured organism
Description: bacterial SSU rRNA
Rfam family: Bacterial small subunit ribosomal RNA
Source: RNAcentral
CGAACCGAGCGAACGUUGUUCGGAAUCACUGGGCUUAAAGGGUGCGUAGGCGGGCUGCCAGGUUUGGGGUGAAAUCCUCCGGCUCAACCGGGGAAGUGCCUUGAAUACUGGCGGUCUCGAGGGAGGUAGGGGCGUGCGGAACUAACGGUGGAGCGGUGAAAUGCGUUGAUAUCGUUAGGAACUCCGGUGGCGAAGGCGGCACGCUGGACCUCUUCUGACGCUGAGGCACGUAAGCCAGGGGAGCGAACGGGAUUAGAUACCCCGGUAGUCCUGGCCCUAAACGUUGAGAACUAGGUAGUAGGCCGGACAUGGGCUUACUGCCGGAGCAAAAGUGCUAAGUUCUCCGCCUGGGGAGUAUGGUCGCAAGGCUG